Vitis vinifera (wine grape) is the source of this 202-nucleotide non-coding RNA. NCBI's taxonomy places the organism in Eukaryota, Viridiplantae, Streptophyta, Magnoliopsida, Vitales, Vitaceae. The record is from RefSeq and is marked provisional.
UGACAUGAUGACAUUAUGAGUAAUAUUUUAUAAAAUUAAGGGUAUUUAUGUAUUGUGUUUUGUCGGAAAAUAUGUUUGGAUAGUUUGAUUUUGAAACUGACAUUAUAUUCCGACUGUAUUAUUGGAUAAUACUAUUUUUCGACAAGACACAAUGCAUAAAUGCUCUUAAUUUUAUAAAAUUUAUGAGUAUGCCAUUGUGUCG